RNAcentral lists this ribosomal RNA (253 nucleotides) under uncultured bacterium. Its description in RNAcentral is "partial 16S ribosomal RNA". It matches the Rfam family "Bacterial small subunit ribosomal RNA", at positions 524 to 776 of the family's 1533-position model. The record is from RNAcentral.
GACGUAGGGGGCGAGCGUUGUCCGGAAUUACUGGGCGUAAAGGGCGUCUAGGCGGCCUGGCAAGUCGGGCGUGAAAGGCUACGGCUCAACCGUAGUUAGGCGUCCGAUACUGCUGGGCUUGAGGGCAGUAGAGGCAGGCGGAAUUCCCGGUGUAGCGGUGAAAUGCGUAGAUAUCGGGAAGAACACCAGUGGCGAAGGCGGCCUGCUGGGCUGUUCCUGACGCUGAAGCGCGAAAGCUAGGGGAGCGAACGGG